UACGUAGGGUGCGAGCGUUGUCCGGAAUUAUUGGGCGUAAAGAGCUCGUAGGCGGUCUGUCGCGUCGGCUGUGAAAACCCGAGGCUCAACCUCGGGCCUGCAGUCGAUACGGGCAAACUAGAGUACUGCAGGGGAGACUGGAAUUCCUGGUGUAGCGGUGGAAUGCGCAGAUAUCAGGAGGAACACCGGUGGCGAAGGCGGCCCACUGGAUCGGUACUGACGCUGAGGUGCGAAAGCGUGGGGAGCAAACAGG
Molecule: ribosomal RNA, 253 nt
Filed under: uncultured bacterium
Lineage: Bacteria
Description: partial 16S ribosomal RNA
Rfam family: Bacterial small subunit ribosomal RNA
Source: RNAcentral